AUGCCGGCCAUCUCUCCCCUAUUUCUAUCUUCUCCCAUCCCACACGACAAGAGCACGGCGGAGGGCGACCGCCAUCUCUCUCUCCCUCGCCCCCCUCCGCCUCACCCGUCUCUGUCUCCUCUCCCGCACCCCCGGCACGGCCUCAUGCUUCCAGGCGCUCGCCUGGAAGGAGGCAGCCGCCUCAACAGUCUCCGGUGCCGGUGUGGGCACGGGGAGCGGGCUGCUCUCGAUGCUUGA
Molecule: ribosomal RNA, 237 nt
Filed under: Triticum aestivum (bread wheat)
Lineage: Eukaryota; Viridiplantae; Streptophyta; Magnoliopsida; Poales; Poaceae
Description: partial small subunit ribosomal RNA
Source: RNAcentral